CAGUCGCCGCGGGAAUACGAAGGGGGCUAGCGUUGUUCGGAAUUACUGGGCGUAAAGGGCGCGUAGGCGGCCAUUCAAGUUAGAUGUGAAAGCCCUGGGCUCAACCUAGGAAUUGCAUUUGAUACUGUUUGGCUUGAGUUCGGGAGAGGUGAGUGGAAUUCCCAGUGUAGAGGUGAAAUUCGUAGAUAUUGGGAAGAACACCGGUGGCGAAGGCGGCAACCUGGUCCAUAACUGACGCUGAGGCGCGAAAGCGUGGGGAGCAAACAGGAUUAGAUACCCGCGUAGUCCCUGUCUCUUAUAC
Molecule: ribosomal RNA, 301 nt
Filed under: uncultured bacterium
Lineage: Bacteria
Description: partial 16S ribosomal RNA
Rfam family: Bacterial small subunit ribosomal RNA
Source: RNAcentral